AGAGUUUGAUCCUGGCUCAGAGUGAACGCUGGCGGCGUGGAUUAGGCAUGCAAGUCGAGCGAUUCUUGCUGGUCUUUUGUUGAAGUGCUUGCACGGAUAUAAAAGACUGGCGCUGAAUAGCGGCAAACGGGUGAGUAAUGCGUGAGCAACUUGCCCCUAAGUUAGGGAUAGCUUCGUGAAAACGGAGGUAAUAUCUGAUAGUCCCAAGUCACCUCAUGGUGGUUUGGGUAAAGGUGGGGACCGUAAGGCCUGCCGCUUAGGGAUGGGCUCGCGUCCUAUCAGCUUGUUGGUGGGGUAAUGGCCUACCAAGGCGUAUGACGGGUAGCUGGUCUGAGAGGAUGGUCAGCCACACUGGGACUGAGACACUGCCCAGACUCCUACGGGAGGCUGCAGUCGAGAAUAUUUAGCAAUGGGCGAAAGCCUGACUAUGCGACGCCGCGUGCAGGAUGAAGGUUUUCGGAUCGUAAACUGCUUUUGUUAGGAAAGAAAAUCACUAUAGAAAUACUGUAGUGACUGACGGUACCUGACGAAUAAGCCACGGCCAACUCCGUGCCAGCAGCCGCGGUAAUACGGAGGUGGCAAGCGUUACUCGGAAUCAUUGGGUGUAAAGGGCAAGUAGGCGGCUUGAUAAGUGAGGGGUGAAAUCUCCCGACUCAAUCGGGAAAUUGCCUUUCAAACUGUCAAGCUUGAGGUAGGAAGAGGGAAAUGGAAUUCUCGGUGUAAGGGUGAAAUCUGUAGAUAUCGAGAAGAACACCGGCGGCGAAGGCGAUUUCCUGGUCCUAUCCUGACGCUAAAUUGCGAAAGCUAGGGGAGCAAACAGAAUUAGAUACUCUGGUAGUCCUAGCCGUAAACGAUGAGCACUAGGUGUUGGGGCGUAAGCCUCGGUGCCGCAGCUAACGCAUUAAGUGCUCCACCUGGGGACUACGGUCGCAAGGCUAAAACUCAAAGGAAUUGACGGGGGCCCGCACAAGCGGUGGAACAUGUGGUUUAAUUCGAUGAUACGCGAGGAACCUCACCAGGGCUUGACAUAUAGAUAGUAGUGAACCGAAAGGGGAACGAGCCGUCAAGUCCGGCAAGCUAUACAGGUGCUGCAUGGCUGUCGUCAGCUCGUGUCGUGAGAUGUUGGGUUAAGUCCCGCAACGAGCGCAACCAUUUUUCCAUGUUGCCACUCUUUUCAUUUUCCACUUCGGUGGGAUAGGGAAGAAGCACUCGUGGGAGACUGCCUGGGAUAACCAGGAGGAAGGUGGAGAUGACGUCAAGUCAGUACGGCCCUUAUGCCCUGGGCUACACACCUGUUACAAUGGUCGAUACAAAGGGUUGCCAACCCGCGAGGGGGAGCCAAUCUCUAAAAAUCGGCCUCAGUUCAGAUUGGAGUCUGCAAUCCGACUCCAUGAAGCCGGAAUCGCUAGUAAUGGGAGAUCAGCACGCUCCCGUGAAUACGUUCCCGGGCCUUGUACACACCGCCCGUCAAGCGAUGGGAGCUGGGAGUACCCGAAGUCCUAUGUAGAUAGGCCGAAGGUAAAUCUGGCGACUGGCGCUAAGUCGUAACAAGGUA
This 1555-nucleotide ribosomal RNA is filed under the name metagenome. Its description in RNAcentral is "bacterial SSU rRNA". It matches the Rfam family "Bacterial small subunit ribosomal RNA". The record is from RNAcentral.